RNAcentral lists this long non-coding RNA (204 nucleotides) under Elaeis guineensis (African oil palm). Its description in RNAcentral is "long non-coding RNA (EGUI_LNC034351)". Lineage: Eukaryota; Viridiplantae; Streptophyta; Magnoliopsida; Arecales; Arecaceae. The record is from RNAcentral.
AAUUACUCAAUCAAGUUGAGUUAAUUAGUGAUUAAAUCACUAAUUAAAUCUCUCAUAAAUACUGAGUCCAAAUCCGAUGGGCAAUCGGGUAUCAAAGUCCAUCGAUAUGAAACCUUGAUCGAAGAGUCCCAAACCAGUGGGACUCUUGACCCCGGUACCCAAAAUGUGUGGAACUCAUGAUCAAAGAAUCCUGAUUCUCGAUCA